RNAcentral lists this ribosomal RNA (476 nucleotides) under uncultured bacterium. Its description in RNAcentral is "bacterial SSU rRNA". It matches the Rfam family "Bacterial small subunit ribosomal RNA", at positions 329 to 802 of the family's 1533-position model. The record is from RNAcentral.
AUCGUAACUCCUACGGGAGGCAGCAGUAAGGAAUAUUGGACAAUGGACGCAAGUCUGAUCCAGCCAUGCCGCGUGAAGGAUUAAGGUCCUCUGGAUUGUAAACUUCUUUUAUAAGGGACGUAAAAAGGUCUUUCUAGAUCGUCUGACGGUACCUUAUGAAUAAGCACCGGCUAACCCCGUGCCAGCAGCCGCGGUAAUACGGAGGGUGCAAGCGUUAUCCGGAUUCACUGGGUUUAAAGGGUGCGUAGGCGGGCAGGUAAGUCAGUGGUGAAAUCCUAGAGCUCAACUCUAGAACUGCCAUUGAUACUAUCUGUCUUGAAUAUUGUGGAGGUAAGCGGAAUAUGUCAUGUAGCGGUGAAAUGCUUAGAUAUGACAUAGAACACCUAUUGCGAAGGCAGCUUACUACGCAUAUAUUGACGCUGAGGCACGAAAGCGUGGGGAACAAACAGGAUUAGAAACCCCGGUAGUCCUAGAGC